GGCUUAGAGUUUGAUCAUGGCUCAGGAUGAACGCUGGCGGCGUGCCUAACACAUGCAAGUCGAGCGAAGCACUUGUUUCUGAUCUUUCGGGUGAAGAAACUUGUGACUGAGCGGCGGACGGGUGAGUAACACGUAGGUAACCUGCCUCACACAGGGGGAUAACAGUUAGAAAUGACUGCUAAUACCGCAUAAGCGCACAGGGCUGCAUGGCCCGGUGUGAAAAGCUCCGGCGGUGUGAGAUGGACCUGCGUCUGAUUAGCCAGUUGGCGGGGUAACGGCCCACCAAAGCGACGAUCAGUAGCCGGCCUGAGAGGGUGGACGGCCACAUUGGGACUGAGACACGGCCCAGACUCCUACGGGAGGCAGCAGUGGGGAAUAUUGCACAAUGGGGGAAACCCUGAUGCAGCGACGCCGCGUGAGCGAAGAAGUAUCUCGGUAUGUAAAGCUCUAUCAGCAGGGAAGAAGAUGACGGUACCUGACUAAGAAGCACCGGCUAAAUACGUGCCAGCAGCCGCGGUAAUACGUAUGGUGCAAGCGUUAUCCGGAUUUACUGGGUGUAAAGGGAGCGUAGACGGAAAAGCAGGUCUGGAGUGAAAGCCCGGGGCUCAACCCCGGGACUGCUUUGGAAACUGUUAUUCUUGAGUGCCGGAGAGGUAAGCG
This 660-nucleotide ribosomal RNA is filed under the name uncultured organism. RNAcentral describes it as "bacterial SSU rRNA". It matches the Rfam family "Bacterial small subunit ribosomal RNA", at positions 1 to 663 of the family's 1533-position model. The record is from RNAcentral.